CAGCCGCCACGGGAAUACAGAGGGUGCGAGCGUUAAUCGGAUUUACUGGGCGUAAAGCGUGCGUAGGCGGCUAAUUGAGUCGGAUGUGAAAUCCCCGAGCUUAACUUGGGAAUUGCAUUCGAUACUGGUUAGCUAGAGUGUGGGAGAGGAUGGUAGAAUUCCAGGUGUAGCGGUGAAAUGCGUAGAGAUCUGGAGGAAUACCGAUGGCGAAGGCAGCCAUCUGGCCUAACACUGACGCUGAGGUACGAAAGCAUGGGGAGCAAACAGGAUUAGAGACCCCGGUAGUCCCUGUCUCUUAUAC
RNAcentral lists this ribosomal RNA (301 nucleotides) under uncultured bacterium. Its description in RNAcentral is "partial 16S ribosomal RNA". It matches the Rfam family "Bacterial small subunit ribosomal RNA", at positions 509 to 807 of the family's 1533-position model. The record is from RNAcentral.